Molecule: ribosomal RNA, 608 nt
Filed under: Arthrobacter sp. CAL569
Lineage: Bacteria; Bacillati; Actinomycetota; Actinomycetes; Micrococcales; Micrococcaceae
Description: bacterial SSU rRNA
Rfam family: Bacterial small subunit ribosomal RNA
Source: RNAcentral
GUGAAAGCUGAACGCUGGCGGCGUGCUUAACACAUGCAAGUCGAACGAUGAUCCCAGCUUGCUGGGGGAUUAGUGGCGAACGGGUGAGUAACACGUGAGUAACCUGCCCUUGACUCUGGGAUAAGCCUGGGAAACCGGGUCUAAUACUGGAUAUGACCUUCUGGCGCAUGCCAUGUUGGUGGAAAGCUUUAUUGCGGUUUUGGAUGGACUCGCGGCCUAUCAGCUUGUUGGUGGGGUAAUGGCCUACCAAGGCGACGACGGGUAGCCGGCCUGAGAGGGUGGACGGCCACACUGGGACUGAGACACGGCCCAGACUCCUACGGGAGGCAGCAGUGGGGAAUAUUGCACAAUGGGCGCAAGCCUGAUGCAGCGACGCCGCGUGGGGGAUGAAGGCCUUCGGGUUGUAAACCUCUUUCAGUAGGGAAGAAGCGAAAGUGACGGUACCUGCAGAAGAAGCGCCGGCUAACUACGUGCCAGCAGCCGCGGUAAUACGUAGGGCGCAAGCGUUAUCCGGAAUUAUUGGGCGUAAAGAGCUCGUAGGCGGUUUGUCGCGUCUGCCGUGAAAGUCCGGGGCUUAACUCCGGAUCUGCGGUGGGUACGGGCAGACU